CAGUCCAAGAUAUUAGUCAAUGCUCGAAAGAGUGAACUAGCUAACUGAAAUCAAUUAAAAUAAUUGAUAACAUAAGGGAAAAUAAUGAUAUUACCUUAUUAUUAGUGUCGUCCAAAUCUGGUGCCAGAAGACUCGGUAAGGCCAGAGACACAAACGUUAAUCGUCUUAAUCAGGCGUAAAGGGUUUGUAGGCGGCUUUAAAAUUUACUUAUAAAAAAAAAUAAUAAGUAAAAAAUAAAAGCUAGAAUCAAAUAGAGGAUAUAUGAAAGAAUGCUUAGAGUAGGUCUGAUAUCUGUAGAUACUAAGUAGAAUAUUAAAGGCGAAAGCUUUUUUCCAUUAAUGAUUGACGCUCAGAAACGAAGGUGAGGAUAGGAAAUAGGAUUAGAUACCCAGAAUACCCCUCUCUGUCAACGAUGAAUGGUAGUUAUUAGUAAGAAUUAUUAAUGGCAAAGUUAACACGAUAACCAUUCCGCCUUGUGAGUACAACUGCAAAGUUGAAAACAAAAAAAUUAGUCGGUUUCGGAGCAAACGAAGUGAAGCAUGUUAUUUAAUUCAAUAAAUCCG
This 563-nucleotide ribosomal RNA is filed under the name Russula sp. Its description in RNAcentral is "partial small subunit ribosomal RNA". It matches the Rfam family "Bacterial small subunit ribosomal RNA", at positions 352 to 962 of the family's 1533-position model. Lineage: Eukaryota; Fungi; Basidiomycota; Agaricomycetes; Russulales; Russulaceae. The record is from RNAcentral.